This 83-nucleotide microRNA precursor is filed under the name Pan troglodytes (chimpanzee). Lineage: Eukaryota; Metazoa; Chordata; Mammalia; Primates; Hominidae. The record is from RNAcentral.
UGGUACUUGGAGAGUGGUUAUCCCUGUCCUGUUCGUUUUGCUCAUGUCGAAUCGUACAGGGUCAUCCACUUUUUCAGUAUCAA